RNAcentral lists this long non-coding RNA (748 nucleotides) under Homo sapiens (human). RNAcentral describes it as "non-protein coding SNHG1:14". Lineage: Eukaryota; Metazoa; Chordata; Mammalia; Primates; Hominidae. The record is from RNAcentral.
CUUAUUGGGCUCCUGUCUGCAGGAUUUACGCGCACGUUGGAACCGAAGAGAGCUCUGUUGUUGCAAUGUUCAGCCCACAAGAGCUUACUGGUGAAGGAAUGGGACAAGACCCAUCUUUAUGCAAAGCCAGCGUUACAGUAAUGUUCCAGGUAUUCCUGAUGACAGUCUGCCUCUAUCUUACAGAGCAGCUUGUUGCUAUAUACCAUUGAAAAGCCUUCAGAGCUGAGAGGUACUACUAACCAAUAACCUGCUUGGCUCAAAGGGCCAGCACCUUCUCUCUAAAGCCCAAGAGGAGUUUGAGGAAAACUAGGUGUCUGUGUUCACUCCAGGCUGAAGUUACAGGUCUGAGCAAAUAAGGUGUAUAAAAAAUGGACAUCAGAAGGUGAAUUUUCCAAGUUCUUGGACAACCUAGCUGUUGAAAAGCUUUCUGGGUUUGGGGGGUAUUUCAGAUGUACCUUAAAGUGUUAGCAGACACAGAUUAAGACACUGGGAGCCAAUGAAACAGCAGUUGAGGGUUUGCUGUGUAUCACAUUUCUGUAUUUUAUCACCCCCUUCCUGCAACAUUAUUUAUCUGGAAUCUACCUGCCCUUUUGUUUUUUAGAUACAAGGGCUUGGUUUUGUUACCCAGGCUGGUUUCAAGGCCAUAGCUUUAAGAGAUCCUCUCACCACAGAUUUCCAAAGUGCUGGGAUUGCAGGUGUGAUUCAUGGCACCCAGACUUUGCUGCCUUUCUUACAUGAUCCAGGCCCA